CACCGGCGGCUCAAGUGGUGGCCGCUAUUAUUGGGCUUAAAGGGUCCGUAGCCGGACCAGUAAGUCCCUUGGGAAAUCUUACGGCUUAACCGUAAGGCUGCCAAUGGAUACUGUUGGUCUUGGGACCGGGAGAGGCAAGAGGUACCUCAGGGGUAGGAGUGAAAUCCUGUAAUCCUUGAGGGACCGCCAGUGGCGAAGGCGUCUUGCUAGAACGGGUCCGACGGUGAGGGACGAAAGCUAGGGGC
Molecule: ribosomal RNA, 245 nt
Filed under: uncultured archaeon
Lineage: Archaea
Description: partial 16S ribosomal RNA
Rfam family: Archaeal small subunit ribosomal RNA
Source: RNAcentral